This 67-nucleotide transfer RNA is filed under the name Philotrypesis tridentata. Its description in RNAcentral is "tRNA-Leu". The record is from RNAcentral. Lineage: Eukaryota; Metazoa; Arthropoda; Insecta; Hymenoptera; Pteromalidae.
AUUGUUUUGACAGAAAAGUGUAUUAAAUUUAGAAUUUAAAAAUAAACUAAUUUUAGUUUAAACAAUA